AGAGUUUGAUCCUGGCUCAGAACGAACGCUGGCGGCAUGGAUUAGGCAUGCAAGUCGAACGGGACUUUAAUUGUAGCAAUAUUAUUGAAGUUCAGUGGCGAAAGGGCGAGGAACGCGUGAGUAACCUACCCAUAAGUUGGGAAUAACUCUUCGAAAGGAGGGCUAAUACCGAAUGUGAUUAUUUGGCCGCAUGGUCGGAUAAUUAAAAAUUUAUUGCUUAUGGAGGGGCUCGCGUCCCAUUAGCUAGUUGGCGGAGUAAAAGCCCACCAAGGCUACGAUGGGUAGCUGGUCUGAGAGGAUGGUCAGCCACACUGGGACUGAGACACUGCCCAGACUCCUACGGGAGGCUGCAGUCGAGAAUCUUCCGCAAUGGGCGAAAGCCUGACGGAGCGAUGCCGCGUGAGGGAUGAAGGUCUUCGGAUUGUAAACCUCUGUCACCUGGGAGGAAAUAAAUGACUGUACCAGGAGAGGAAGCUACGGCUAACUACGUGCCAGCAGCCGCGGUAAUACGUAGGUAGCGAGCGUUGUUCGGAUUUAUUGGGCGUAAAGGGUCCGCAGGGGGCCGAUUAAGUCUGAUGUGAAAUACCAAGGCUCAACCUUGGAACUGCAUUGGAAACUGAUUGGCUAGAGCAUCGGAGAGGAGAAUGGAAUUCCAGGUGUAGCGGUGGAAUGCGUAGAUAUCUGGAAGAACACCGAAGGCGAAGGCAGUUCUCUGGACGAUUGCUGACCCUCAGGGACGAAAGCAUGGGGAGCAAACAGGAUUAGAUACCCUGGUAGUCCAUGCUGUAAACGUUGUGAACUUGACGUGGGAGGCUGAAAACCUCCUGUGUCGUAGCUAACGCGAUAAGUUCACCGCCUGGGGACUACGACCGCAAGGUUAAAACUCAAAGGAAUUGACGGGGGCCCGCACAAGCGGUGGAGCAUGUGGCUCAAUUCGAUGCAACGCGAAGAACCUUACCUGGAUUUGACAUAUACCUGCCGACUAUGGAAACAUAGUUUUCCCCGCAAGGGGACGAGUAUACAGGUGCUGCAUGGCUGUCGUCAGCUCGUGCCGUGAGGUGUUCGGUUAAGUCCGGCAACGAGCGCAACCCGUGUCAUUAGUUGCAAACAGGUAAUGCUGAGCACUCUAAUGAGACUGCCCGUGUUAAGCGGGAGGAAGGCGCGGAUGACGUCAAGUCCGUAUGGCCUUUAUAUCCAGGGCUGCACACGUGCUACAAUGGCUGGUCCAAUGGGAUGCAAUGUCGCGAGGCGGAGCAAAUCCUCAAAACCAGCCCCAGUUCAGAUUGCAGUCUGCAACUCGACUGCAUGAAGUUGGAAUCGCUAGUAAAGGCGUAUCAGCCACGACGCCUUGAAUACGUUCCCGGGCCUUGUACACACCGCCCGUCACAUCAUGGAAGCUUAUUGCACCCGAAGUAGCUGAACCUUACCCGCAAGGGGAGGAGGCUCCUAAGGUGUGGUCAGUGACUGG
RNAcentral lists this ribosomal RNA (1468 nucleotides) under metagenome. RNAcentral describes it as "bacterial SSU rRNA". It matches the Rfam family "Bacterial small subunit ribosomal RNA". The record is from RNAcentral.